RNAcentral lists this ribosomal RNA (426 nucleotides) under uncultured bacterium. Its description in RNAcentral is "partial 16S ribosomal RNA". It matches the Rfam family "Bacterial small subunit ribosomal RNA", at positions 354 to 796 of the family's 1533-position model. The record is from RNAcentral.
GUGAGGAAUUUUCCGCAAUGGGCGAAAGCCUGACGGAGCAAUGCCGCGUGAAGGAUGAAGGCCUAUGGGUUGUACACUUCUUUUCUUAGAGAAGAAUAUUGACGGUAUCUGAGGAAUAAGCAUCGGCUAACUUCGUGCCAGCAGCCGCGGUAAUACGAAGGGGGCGAGCGUUAUUCGGAAUCACUGGGCGUAAAGCGUGCGUAGGCGGUUUUGUAAGGUAGGAGUGAAAGCCCAGGGCUAAACCUUGGAAUUGCUCUUAAAACUGCAAGGCUCGAAUCGCAGAGAGGAUAGCGGAAUUUCCAGUGUAGCAGUGAAAUGCGUAGAUAUUGGAAGGAACACCAGUGGCGUAAGCGGCUAUCUGGACGAGUAUUGACGCUGAGGCACGAAAGCGUGGGGAUCAAACAGGAUUAGAUACCCCGGUAGUCC